AUUUUUAUCUAUUCUACCUUGAAAUUGCCUGAUCUCGUUUCUUUUCAGAAGCUAAGCAGGGUUGGGCUUUGUUAAUACAGGGAUGGGAGACUACAUGGAUUAAGUUGUGCCAGUG
This 115-nucleotide ribosomal RNA is filed under the name Periophthalmus magnuspinnatus. Lineage: Eukaryota; Metazoa; Chordata; Actinopteri; Gobiiformes; Gobiidae. The record is from RNAcentral.